This 419-nucleotide ribosomal RNA is filed under the name uncultured Gammaproteobacteria bacterium. Its description in RNAcentral is "bacterial SSU rRNA". It matches the Rfam family "Bacterial small subunit ribosomal RNA", at positions 370 to 779 of the family's 1533-position model. The record is from RNAcentral. Lineage: Bacteria; Pseudomonadati; Pseudomonadota; Gammaproteobacteria.
AAUGGGCGCAAGCCUGAUCCAGCAAUACCGCGUGUGUGAAGAAGGCUCUAGGGUCGUAAAGCACUUUCAGUAGGGAGGAAAGGGAUGUAGUUAAUACCUGCAUUCUGUGACGUUACCUACAGAAGAAGCACCGGCUAACUCCGUGCCAGCAGCCGCGGUAAUACGGAGGGUGCAAAGCGUUAAUCGGAAUUACUGGGCGUAAAGCGCGCGUAGGCGGAUUGUUAAGUCUCAUGUGAAAGCCCUGGGCUCAACCUGGGAACUGCAUGGGAUACUGGCAAUCUAGAAUACAGUAGAGGGUAGUGGAAUUUCAGGUGUAGCGGUGAAAUGCGUAGAGAUCUGAAGGAACUAUCAGUGGCGAAGGCGACUACCUGGACUGAUAUUGACGCUGAGGUGCGAAAGCGUGGGGAGCAAACGGGAUU